UAGAAAACCAAAUCAUGUUUAAGCAGUUCUUCUAGGGUGGAUUAUUUAGCAUGGCAUACAAAACAAAAUUGCACCACCAUUGAUACACUGUAGAGGAACUGGAUGUUUUGGGAUCUAUUUUGCAGGAAGAGUAAAAUACCCAUCCAAAAAGAAGUCACAUAAAUAAAACCACCACCACUACUCACUAUCCACCCACCCAAGAGGAAGAGGAGGAGGAAAAAGAAUCACACUCUUUCAAAUUAACAUAGUUGCAAAAGCAUGAUUCACACCAGCAAAAUUCAAGUUUACAAUAUAUAUACACACACACACACACUAUUCAGCUUAAUAGUUUGCAUCUUAAAGUAUGGUGUUUUUAGUAUUAAUUUGCGAGUUUGAAUAAAGUCCCACCAAAAUCAUGUUUGGUGAUGACAUGUUAUCUGCCUGUUGUCUAAGUGUUCACCAUAAUUAAGUAUUUUUAUGCUAAUCGAUCCUUGUAUAAUGGAUCUUUUGAGGAUAUCUAUUAAACUGAGAUAAUAUUUUUGUGUUUGUGUGUGUGCACGCAUACCCUUCUAGGUGAAAUUUAAAAACCAUAUGUAUAAUGCAUUAAAUUUAAUCAUAACUAAUUGGCAACU
Molecule: unclassified non-coding RNA, 611 nt
Filed under: Hevea brasiliensis (rubber tree)
Lineage: Eukaryota; Viridiplantae; Streptophyta; Magnoliopsida; Malpighiales; Euphorbiaceae
Source: RNAcentral